RNAcentral lists this ribosomal RNA (407 nucleotides) under Salmonella enterica. Its description in RNAcentral is "partial 23S ribosomal RNA". It matches the Rfam family "Bacterial large subunit ribosomal RNA", at positions 2541 to 2925 of the family's 2925-position model. Lineage: Bacteria; Pseudomonadati; Pseudomonadota; Gammaproteobacteria; Enterobacterales; Enterobacteriaceae. The record is from RNAcentral.
CACAUCCUGGGGCUGAAGUAGGUCCCAAGGGUAUGGCUGUUCGCCAUUUAAAGUGGUACGCGAGCUGGGUUUAGAACGUCGUGAGACAGUUCGGUCCCUAUCUGCCGUGGGCGCUGGAGAACUGAGGGGGGCUGCUCCUAGUACGAGAGGACCGGAGUGGACGCAUCACUGGUGUUCGGGUUGUCAGGCCAAUGGCACUGCCCGGUAGCUAAAUGCGGAAGAGAUAAGUGCUGAAAGCAUCUAAGCACGAAACUUGCCCCGAGAUGAGUUCUCCCUGAGACUUAGAGUCUCCUGAAGGAACGUUGAAGACGACGACGUUGAUAGGCCGGGUGUGUAAGCGCAGCGAUGCGUUGAGCUAACCGGUACUAAUGAACCGUGAGGCUUAACCUUACAACGCCGAAGCUGUU